This 72-nucleotide transfer RNA is filed under the name Stachybotrys chartarum IBT 7711. Its description in RNAcentral is "tRNA-Trp (CCA) (tRNA-Trp-CCA-1-1)". It matches the Rfam family "tRNA". Rfam says of the family: Transfer RNA (tRNA) molecules are approximately 80 nucleotides in length. RNAcentral also lists the same sequence under 3 other names. The record is from RNAcentral. Lineage: Eukaryota; Fungi; Ascomycota; Sordariomycetes; Hypocreales; Stachybotryaceae.
GGGGGGCUGGCGCAACGGUAGCGCGUCAGAUUCCAGUCCUGAAGGUUACCGGUUCAAAUCCGGUGUCCCUCA